Molecule: non-coding RNA, 304 nt
Filed under: Phascolarctos cinereus (koala)
Lineage: Eukaryota; Metazoa; Chordata; Mammalia; Diprotodontia; Phascolarctidae
Source: RNAcentral
GCCUGAUGUGGAGGUACAUGCCCGCAAUCCCUUCUGCUGGGGAGGCAAAGGCUGGUGGAUUGCUCCAGUUCAGCAGUUCUGAGAUGCAGGAAGUCUAAUGCUGGCUGGGUGUCCACACUAAGUCUAGCAAGAAUAUGGUGAGUCCUCCAGAAGGCAGGACCACCCAGCUGCCAAGGGAGUGGGAAACCAACCCAAGAGGGAAAAACAGAGCAGGUUAAAGCUUCUGUGCCAGUUGGUAUUGCGAUCAGGCCCAUAAAUGACUACUGAACUUCCAACCUGGGCAAGACUAGGAAACCCAGUCUCC